AUGUUUGUAAUAUUUCAGAAGUUGGCAGAAAAAGAAAAUAAAAAUAAAAAAAAAUAGAAAAAGAAAAUGAAUGAAAAAAAUAUAAGGAUGUCAAUGCAUACUCCUUCUGAAAAAGAAAAGAAAAAAAAAGAGAAAGGAAAAGAGAAAACAGUUGCUAUAGAGUUGUUGAAGUGAAUGAAAUCUUUUGUAAAUUCAACUUCCGCAGUUUCUUUCAAGUCUCUUUUGUCUCUUUGAAUUUUAG
RNAcentral lists this long non-coding RNA (241 nucleotides) under Lathyrus oleraceus (garden pea). RNAcentral's name for it is "Pisum sativum (pea) long non-coding RNA (PSAT_LNC009592)". The record is from RNAcentral. Lineage: Eukaryota; Viridiplantae; Streptophyta; Magnoliopsida; Fabales; Fabaceae.